Molecule: ribosomal RNA, 253 nt
Filed under: uncultured bacterium
Lineage: Bacteria
Description: partial 16S ribosomal RNA
Rfam family: Bacterial small subunit ribosomal RNA
Source: RNAcentral
UACGUAGGGUGCAAGCGUUAAUCGGAAUUACUGGGCGUAAAGCGUGCGCAGGCGGUUUUGUAAGUCUGUCGUGAAAUCCCCGGGCUUAACCUGGGAAUUGCGAUGGAGACUGCAAGGCUGGAGUUUGGCAGAGGGGGGUAGAAUUCCACGUGUAGCAGUGAAAUGCGUAGAGAUGUGGAGGAACACCGAUGGCGAAGGCAGCCCCCUGGGUCAAGAUUGACGCUCAUGCACGAAAGCGUGGGGAGCAAACAGG